UGAUGGCUCAGUGAGGCCUUCGGACUGGCUCAGGGGGGUUGGCAACGACCGCCCAGAGCCGGAAAGUUGGUCAAACUUGGUCAUUUAGAGGAAGUAAAAGUCGUAACAAGGUUUCCGUAGGUGAACCUGCGGAAGGAUCAUUACCGAGUGCGGGUCCCCCGGGGCCCAACCUCCCACCCGUGUUGACCGACCCCUGUUGCUUCGGCGGGCCCGCCUGGGCUUUCCGCCUCGGCCGCCGGGGGGCUUAGCCCCCGGGUCCGCGCCCGCCGAAGACCCCCUGAACGCUGCCUUGAAGGUUGCCGUCUGAGUGAUAAAUCAAUCAUUAAAACUUUCAACAACGGAUCUCUUGGUUCCGGCAUCGAUGAAGAACGCAGCGAAAUGCGAUAAGUAAUGUGAAUUGCAGAAUUCCGUGAAUCAUCGAAUCUUUGAACGCACAUUGCGCCCCCUGGCAUUCCGGGGGGCAUGCCUGUCCGAGCGUCAUUGCUAACCCUCCAGCCCGGCUGGUGUGUUGGGCCGCCGUCCCCCCGGGGGCGGGCCCGAAAGGCAGCGGCGGCGCCGCGUCCGGUCCUCGAGCGUAUGGGGCUCUGUCACGCGCUCCGGGGCCCGGCCGGCUGCUGGCCAACGACCUCACGGUCACCUCACUUCUCAGGUUGACCUCGGAUCAGGUAGGGAUACCCGCUGAACUUAAGCAUAUCAAUAAGCGGAGGAAAAGAAACCAACAGGGAUUGCCCCAGUAACGGCGAGUGAAGCGGCAAGAGCUCAAAUUUGAAAUCUGGCCCCUCCGGGGUCCGAGUUGUAAUUUGCAGAGGAUGCUUCGGGUGCGGUCCCCGUCUAAGUGCCCUGGAACGGGCCGUCAUAGAGGGUGAGAAUCCCGUCUGGGACGGGCGGCCGUGCCCGUGUGAAGCUCCUUCGACGAGUCGAGUUGUUUGGGAAUGCAGCUCUAAAUGGGUGGUAAAUUCCAUCUAAAGCUAAAUAUUGGCCGGAGACCGAUAGCGCACAAGUAGAGUGAUCGAAAGAUGAAAAGCACUUUGAAAAGAGAGUUAAACAGCACGUGAAAUUGUUGAAAGGGAAGCGCUUGCGACCAGACUCGCCCGCGGGGGUUCAGCCGGUACUCGUACCGGUGUACUCCCCCGCGGUCGGACCAGCGUCGGUUUGGGCGGCCGGUCAAAGGCCCCCGGAAUGUGUCGCCUCUCGGGGCGUCUUAUAGCCGGGGGUGCAAUGCGGCCAGCCUGGACCGAGGAACGCGCUUCGGCACGGACGCUGGUGCAAUGGUCGUAAGCGGCCCGUCUUGAAACACGGACCAAGGAGUCUAACAUCUACGCGAGUGUUCGGGUGUCAAACCCGUACGCGCAGUGAAAGCGAACGGAGGUGGGAGCCCCCCGGGGUGCACCAUCGACCGAUCCUGAUGUCUUCGGAUGGAUUUGAGUAGGAGCGUAGCUGUUGGGACCCGAAAGAUGGUGAACUAUGCCUGAAUAGGGCGAAGCCAGAGGAAACUCUGGUGGAGGCUCGCAGCGGUUCUGACGUGCAAAUCGAUCGUCGAAUU
RNAcentral lists this small RNA (1543 nucleotides) under Paecilomyces tabacinus. RNAcentral's name for it is "eukaryotic LSU rRNA". The stretch from base 652 to 1543 matches the Rfam family "Eukaryotic large subunit ribosomal RNA", at positions 1 to 911 of the family's 3401-position model. The record is from RNAcentral. Lineage: Eukaryota; Fungi; Ascomycota; Eurotiomycetes; Eurotiales; Thermoascaceae.